This 273-nucleotide ribosomal RNA is filed under the name uncultured bacterium. RNAcentral's name for it is "partial 16S ribosomal RNA". It matches the Rfam family "Bacterial small subunit ribosomal RNA", at positions 524 to 796 of the family's 1533-position model. The record is from RNAcentral.
UACGUAGGUGACAAGCGUUGUCCGGAAUUAUUGGGCGUAAAGGGAGCGCAGGCGGUUGGAAUAGUCUGAUGUGAAAGCCCACGGCUUAACCGUGGAAUUGCAUUGGAAACUGUCCAACUUGAAUGCAGAAGAGGAAAGCGGAAUUCCAUGUGUAGCGGUGAAAUGCGUAGAUAUAUGGAGGAACACCAGUGGCGAAGGCGGCUUUCUGGUCUGUGAUUGACGCUGAGGCUCGAAAGCGUGGGGAGCGAACAGGAUUAGAUACCCCGGUAGUCC